Molecule: ribosomal RNA, 889 nt
Filed under: Salmonella enterica
Lineage: Bacteria; Pseudomonadati; Pseudomonadota; Gammaproteobacteria; Enterobacterales; Enterobacteriaceae
Description: partial 23S ribosomal RNA
Rfam family: Bacterial large subunit ribosomal RNA
Source: RNAcentral
CAUGCUGGAGGUAUCAGAAGUGCGAAUGCUGACAUAAGUAACGAUAAAGCGGGUGAAAAGCCCGCUCGCCGGAAGACCAAGGGUUCCUGUCCAACGUUAAUCGGGGCAGGGUGAGUCGACCCCUAAGGCGAGGCCGAAAGGCGUAGUCGAUGGGAAACGGGUUAAUAUUCCCGUACUUGGUGUUACUGCGAAGGGGGGACGGAGAAGGCUAUGUUGGCCGGGCGACGGUUGUCCCGGUUUAAGCGUGUAGGUGUGUGUUCCAGGUAAAUCCGGUUCACUUUAACACUGAGGCGUGACGACGAGGCACUACGGUGCUGAAGCAACAAAUGCCCUGCUUCCAGGAAAAGCCUCUAAGCAUCAGGUAACAUCAAAUCGUACCCCAAACCGACACAGGUGGUCAGGUAGAGAAUACCAAGGCGCUUGAGAGAACUCGGGUGAAGGAACUAGGCAAAAUGGUGCCGUAACUUCGGGAGAAGGCACGCUGACACGUAGGUGAAGUGAUUUACUCAUGGAGCUGAAGUCAGUCGAAGAUACCAGCUGGCUGCAACUGUUUAUUAAAAACACAGCACUGUGCAAACACGAAAGUGGACGUAUACGGUGUGACGCCUGCCCGGUGCCGGAAGGUUAAUUGAUGGGGUCAGCGCAAGCGAAGCUCCUGAUCGAAGCCCCGGUAAACGGCGGCCGUAACUAUAACGGUCCUAAGGUAGCGAAAUUCCUUGUCGGGUAAGUUCCGACCUGCACGAAUGGCGUAAUGAUGGCCAGGCUGUCUCCACCCGAGACUCAGUGAAAUUGAACUCGCUGUGAAGAUGCAGUGUACCCGCGGCAAGACGGAAAGACCCCGUGAACCUUUACUAUAGCUUGACACUGAACAUUGAGCCUUGAUGUGUAG